CGAUUCGUCUCGUUGGUGACCAGCGGAGGGAUCAUUACUGAGUUACCGCUCUAUAACCCUUUGUGAACAUACCUACAACUGUUGCUUCGGCGGGUAGGCCGUCCCCUGAAAAGGACGCCUCCCGGCCCGGACCGGACCCCCCGCGGGACCGGACCCGGCGCCCGCCGGAGGAUAACCAAACUCUAUUGUAACGACGUUUCUUCUGAGUGGCAUAAGCAAAAUAAUCAAAACUUUUAACAACGGAUCUCUUGGUUCUGGCAUCGAUGAAGAACGCAGCGAAAUGCGAUAAGUAAUGUGAAUUGCAGAAUUCAGUGAAUCAUCGAAUCUUUGAACGCACAUUGCGCCCGCCAGCAUUCUGGCGGGCAUGCCUGUUCGAGCGUCAUUUCAACCCUCAAGCUCUGCUUGGUGUUGGGGCUCUACGGUCGACGUAGGCCCUCAAAGGUAGUGGCGGACCCUCCCGGAGCCUCCUUUGCGUAGUAACAUUUCGUCUCGCACUGGGAUCCGGAGGGACUCUUGCCGUAAAACCCCCCAAUUUUCCAAAGGUUGACCUCGGAUCAGGUAGGAAUACCCGCUGAACUUAAGCAUAUCUA
This 590-nucleotide ribosomal RNA is filed under the name fungal endophyte. Its description in RNAcentral is "eukaryotic LSU rRNA". The stretch from base 229 to 382 matches the Rfam family "5.8S ribosomal RNA". The record is from RNAcentral. Lineage: Eukaryota; Fungi.